CAGAGAUUUGACAUAGCUUUCAAAGGGGCUUCACUGGAAUGCAGUCGGUCGCUUUGUGCAGUAGAGUUCUUGAACAGGAGGUAAUCUGACACGAAGUGUAUUUACAGUAUUGGUGGCCUACUACUACUGCUGCAGUCAUUGCUUUUCCUGAGGAUGCCAUAAACACAGAAUAUUUUCUCAAGCCAAAUUCUGGUGCUGCCUGUUUUCUGCCUCGUCCUCUGCAGGACAUUCUUGAACCAAAACCUUGAGAAGCAGCAUUUAUUACUUGGUAUAGCUAUCUGCUGAGAAGAGAAAUGUGAAAUAGACUCCCUAAAGAAGUGGUGUGCCAAAACCAUGGAAGACACUCCAUUGAGAAAAUUCAUGUGCCU
Molecule: long non-coding RNA, 368 nt
Organism: Parus major (Great Tit)
Lineage: Eukaryota; Metazoa; Chordata; Aves; Passeriformes; Paridae
Source: Ensembl